This 492-nucleotide ribosomal RNA is filed under the name uncultured bacterium. Its description in RNAcentral is "partial 16S ribosomal RNA". It matches the Rfam family "Bacterial small subunit ribosomal RNA", at positions 29 to 507 of the family's 1533-position model. The record is from RNAcentral.
AGUGAACGCUGGCGGUAGGCCUAACACAUGCAAGUCGAACGGCAGCACAGUAAGAGCUUGCUCUUACGGGUGGCGAGUGGCGGACGGGUGAGGAAUACAUCGGAAUCUACUUUUUCGUGGGGGGUAACGUAGGGAAACUUACGCUAAUACCGCAUACGACCUACGGGUGAAAGCAGGGGAUCUUCGGACCUUGCGCGAUUGAAUGAGCCGAUGUCGGAUUAGCUAGUUGGCGGGGUAAAGGCCCACCAAGGCGACGAUCCGUAGCUGGUCUGAGAGGAUGAUCAGCCACACUGGAACUGAGCCACGGUCCAGACUCCUACGGGAGGCAGCAGUGGGGAAUAUUGGACAAUGGGCUCAAGCCUGAUCCAGCCAUACCGCGUGGGUGAAGAAGGCCUUCGGGUUGUAAAGCCCUUUUGUUGGGAAAGAAAAGCAGCAGGUUAAUACCCCGCUGUUCUGACGGUACCCAAAGAAUAAGCACCGGCUAACUUCGUG